CCUACGGGUGGCAGCAGUGGGGAAUAUUGGGCAAUGGGCGCAAGCCUGACCCAGCAACGCCGCGUGAAGGAAGAAGGCUUUCGGGUUGUAAACUUCUUUUGUCAGGGAAGAGUAGAAGACGGUACCUGACGAAUAAGCCACGGCUAACUACGUGCCAGCAGCCGCGGUAAUACGUAGGUGGCAAGCGUUGUCCGGAUUUACUGGGUGUAAAGGGCGUGUAGCCGGGUUGACAAGUCAGAUGUGAAAUCCUGCGGCUUAACCGAAGAACUGCAUUUGAAACUGUUGAUCUGGAGUACUGGAGAGGCAGGCGGAAUUCCUGGGGUAGCGGUGAAAGGCGUAGAUAUUAGGAGGAACACCAGUGGCGAAGGCGGUCUGCUGGACAGCAACUGACGGUGAGGCGCGAAAGCGUGGGGAGCAAACAGGAUUAGACCCCCCAGUAGUC
Molecule: ribosomal RNA, 442 nt
Filed under: uncultured bacterium
Lineage: Bacteria
Description: partial 16S ribosomal RNA
Rfam family: Bacterial small subunit ribosomal RNA
Source: RNAcentral